RNAcentral lists this ribosomal RNA (460 nucleotides) under uncultured bacterium. RNAcentral describes it as "partial 16S ribosomal RNA". It matches the Rfam family "Bacterial small subunit ribosomal RNA", at positions 338 to 795 of the family's 1533-position model. The record is from RNAcentral.
CCUACGGGCGGCAGCAGUGAGGAAUAUUGGUCAAUGGACGAGAGUCUGAACCAGCCAAGUAGCGUGAAGGAUGACUGCCCUAUGGGUUGUAAACUUCUUUUAUAUGGGAAUAAAAUGUUUCACGUGUGGGAUUUUGUAUGUACCAUAUGAAUAAGGACCGGCUAACUCCGUGCCAGCAGCCGCGGUAAUACGGAGGGUCCGAGCGUUAUCCGGAUUUAUUGGGUUUAAAGGGAGCGUAGGUGGAUUGUUAAGUCAGUUGUGAAAGUUUGCGGCUCAACCGGAGAAUUGCAGUUGAAACUGGCAGUCUUGAGUACAGGAGAGGUGAGCGGAAUUCGUGGUGUAGCGGUGAAAUGCUUAGAUAUCACGAAGAACUCCGAUUGCGAAGGCAGUUCACUGGACUGCAACUGACACUGAGGCUCGAAAGUGUGGGUAUCAAACAGGAUUAGAUACCCUUGUAGUC